GAAAACAGUCCAGACCGCCAGAUAAGGUCCCAAAAUGUAUGCUAAGUGGAGAAGGAUGUGGAGAUGCAUAAACAACCAGGAUGUUGGCUCAGAAGCAGCCAUCAUUAAAAGAGUGCGUAAUAGCUCACUGGUCGAGUGACUCUGCGCCGAAAAUGUACCGGGGCUAAGCAUACUACCGAAGCUGCGGAAUAUAGCGAAUAACUAUUUUGGUAGGGGAGCGUUCUAUACGAGAAGAAGAUUGACCGGAAGGACAGUUGGAUUGUAUAGAAGUGAGAAUGCCGGUGUAAGUAACGAUAAGACGGGUGAGAAUCCCGUCCGUCUGAAACCCAAGGUUUCCAGGGGAAGGUUCGUCCGCCCUGGGUAAGUCGGGGCCUAAGGGGAGUCCGAAAGGAGUACCUGAUGGAUAUUUGGUUUAUAAUCCAGAACUACUUAAUAAACUGAUGGAGAGACGAAGGAGGCAGGGAUGCACCUCUUAGUGGAUUUUGGUCAAGAUAACGAGGAAUAGUGGAGAGGAAAAUCCGCCACCUUAUCUGAGUUAUCGAGGUAAGGCUAUACCGAGUCAUACUUCCAAGAAAAACUUCUAAAGAUAUUAAUUAAGUACCCGUACCGUAAACCGACACAGGUGGGUGAGAAGAAAAUUCUAAGACGCGCGAGAAAACCCUUGUUAAGGAACUCGGCAAAAUGACCCCGUAAGUUAGCGAGAAGGGGGACUUAUAGAGAUAUAAGUCGCAGAGAAGAGGCCCAAGCAACUGUUUAACAAAAACACAGGUUUGUGCAAAAUCGAAAGAUGAAGUAUACGAGCUGACGCCUGCCCGGUGCUGGAAGGUUAAGAGGAGAUGUCAGGCAACGANNCGGCGGCCGUAACUAUAACGGUCCUAAGGUAGCGAAAUUCCUUGUCAGGUAAGUUCUGACCCGCACGAAAGGCGUAAUGUCUUUGGGCGCUGUCUCAACAAGGGGCUCGGUGAAAUCAUAUUACCGGUGAAAAUGCCGGUUACCCGCGACUAGACGGAAAGACCCCAUGGAGCUUUACUGUAGCUUGAUAUUGAUACUUGGUAUGUGAUGCACAGGAUAGGUGGGAAACUAUGAAGUUAGGACUUUGGUCUUGAUGGAGUUGACGUUGGGAUACCACCCUUUGCAUAUUGAGCGUCUAACUAGUGUAAGUGGAUUACAAAGGACAGUGUCAGGUGGGCAGUUUGACUGGGGCGGUCGCCUCCUAAAGAGUAACGGAGGCGCUCGAAGGUUCCCUCAGAAUGGUUGGAAAUCAUUUGAAGAGCGUAAAGGCAUAAGGGAGCUUGACUGUAAGAGAGACAACUCGAGCAGGGACGAAAGUCGGACUUAGUGAUCUUGCGGUACCGUAUGGAAGGGCCGUGACUUAACGGACAAAAGCUACCCUGGGGAUAACAGGCUGAUCACGCCCAA
This 1419-nucleotide ribosomal RNA is filed under the name bovine gut metagenome. RNAcentral's name for it is "bacterial LSU rRNA". It matches the Rfam family "Bacterial large subunit ribosomal RNA", at positions 1018 to 2495 of the family's 2925-position model. The record is from RNAcentral.